Molecule: unclassified non-coding RNA, 201 nt
Filed under: Hevea brasiliensis (rubber tree)
Lineage: Eukaryota; Viridiplantae; Streptophyta; Magnoliopsida; Malpighiales; Euphorbiaceae
Source: RNAcentral
AGACAAGCCAUUUGCCCGUGGAUGGUCACAGUUACAACCAUCAUUAUUCGCAGGCUUAUGCAAUGUCAAAUCAUGUGGAUUCAAAAUCAAAUCAUUAUGGUUCCCCACAUGACCAGAGGAUUAAUUCAGCUGACCGUAGUGGCACAAGCUUAUAUUCGGCACAGGGUUGUAAGACAUACGCUAGCCAGCCGCCACUUCCAG